Molecule: ribosomal RNA, 88 nt
Filed under: Ochotona princeps (American pika)
Lineage: Eukaryota; Metazoa; Chordata; Mammalia; Lagomorpha; Ochotonidae
Source: RNAcentral
UACCACCCUGAACGUGCCUGAUCUUGGAAGCUAAGCAGGAUCAGGCCUGGUUAGUCCUUGGAUGGGAAACAUCCUGUCAAAUCCAGCA